Molecule: ribosomal RNA, 254 nt
Filed under: uncultured bacterium
Lineage: Bacteria
Description: partial 16S ribosomal RNA
Rfam family: Bacterial small subunit ribosomal RNA
Source: RNAcentral
UACGUAGGGGGGCAAGCGUUGUCCGGAAUCAUUGGGCGUAAAGCGCGUGUAGGCGGCUCGGGUAGUCUGGUGUGAAAUCUUUCGGCUCAACCGGAAGCGGUCACUGGAUACUCUCGGGCUUGAGUCCGGAAGAGGAGAGUGGAAUUCCUGGUGUAGCGGUGGAAUGCGCAGAUAUCAGGAGGAACACCAAUGGCGAAGGCAGCUCUCUGGGACGUGACUGACGCUAAGACGCGAAAGCGUGGGGAGCGAACAGG